This 254-nucleotide ribosomal RNA is filed under the name uncultured bacterium. RNAcentral's name for it is "partial 16S ribosomal RNA". It matches the Rfam family "Bacterial small subunit ribosomal RNA", at positions 524 to 776 of the family's 1533-position model. The record is from RNAcentral.
CACGUAGGCACCAAGCGUUGUCCGGAUUUAUUGGGCGUAAAGAGCUCGUAGGCGGUUCGGUAAGUCGGGUGUGAAAACUUUGGGCUCAACCCAAAGCCUGCACUCGAUACUGCUGUGACUUGAGUCCGGUAGGGGAGUGGGGAAUUCCUGGUGUAGCGGUGGAAUGCGCAGAUAUCAGGAGGAACACCGGUGGCGAAGGCGCCACUCUGGGCCGGUACUGACGCUGAAAUACGAAAGCGUGGGGAGCAAACAGG